RNAcentral lists this ribosomal RNA (750 nucleotides) under uncultured Actinomyces sp. RNAcentral's name for it is "bacterial SSU rRNA". It matches the Rfam family "Bacterial small subunit ribosomal RNA", at positions 28 to 776 of the family's 1533-position model. The record is from RNAcentral. Lineage: Bacteria; Bacillati; Actinomycetota; Actinomycetes; Actinomycetales; Actinomycetaceae.
GACGAACGCUGGCGGCGUGCUUAACACAUGCAAGUCGAACGCUGAAGCCUAGCUUGCUGGGUGGAUGAGUGGCGAACGGGUGAGUAACACGUGAGUAACCUGCCCCCUUCUUUGGGAUAACGCCCGGAAACGGGUGCUAAUACUGGAUAUUCACUGAUCUUCGCAUGGGGGUUGGUGGAAAGGUUUGUUCUGGUGGGGGAUGGGCUCGCGGCCUAUCAGCUUGUUGGUGGGGUGAUGGCCUACCAAGGCUUUGACGGGUGGCCGGCCUGAGAGGGUGACCGGUCACAUUGGGACUGAGAUACGGCCCAGACUCCUACGGGAGGCAGCAGUGGGGAAUAUUGCACAAUGGGCGAAAGCCUGAUGCAGCGACGCCGCGUGAGGGAUGGAGGCCUUCGGGUUGUAAACCUCUUUCGCUCAUGGUCAAGCCGCAACAGUGGUUGUGGUGAGGGUAGUGGGUAAAGAAGCGCCGGCUAACUACGUGCCAGCAGCCGCGGUAAUACGUAGGGCGCGAGCGUUGUCCGGAAUUAUUGGGCGUAAAGGGCUUGUAGGCGGUUGGUCGCGUCUGCCGUGAAAUCCUCUGGCUUAACUGGGGGCGUGCGGUGGGUACGGGCUGACUUGAGUGCGGUAGGGGAGACUGGAACUCCUGGUGUAGCGGUGGAAUGCGCAGAUAUCAGGAAGAACACCGGUGGCGAAGGCGGGUCUCUGGGCCGUUACUGACGCUGAGGAGCGAAAGCGUGGGGAGCGAACAGG